GACGAAUGCUGGCGGUGUGCUUAACACAUGCAAGUCGAACGGUAAGGCCCUUUCGGGGGUACACGAGUGGCGAACGGGUGAGUAACACGUGAGUAACCUGCCCUCAUCUCUGGGAUAACAGUCGGAAACGGUUGCUAAUACUGGAUAUGAGCUUGCAAGGCAUCUUGUGGGUUGGAAAGAUUUUUUUGGUUGGGGAUGGACUCGCGGCCUAUCAGCUUGUUGGUGAGGUAGUGGCUCACCAAGGCUUCGACGGGUAGCCGGCCUGAGAGGGCGACCGGCCACAGUGGGACUGAGAUACGGCCCAAACUCCUACGGGAGGCAGCAGUGGGGAAUAUUGCACAAUGGACGGAAGUCUGAUGCAGCAACGCCGCGUGCGGGAUGACGGCCUUCGGGUUGUAAACCGCUUUCAAUUGUGACGAAGCUUUUUGUGACGGUAGCAGUAGAAGAAGCACCGGCUAACUACGUG
Molecule: ribosomal RNA, 466 nt
Filed under: uncultured bacterium
Lineage: Bacteria
Description: partial 16S ribosomal RNA
Rfam family: Bacterial small subunit ribosomal RNA
Source: RNAcentral